Saccostrea cuccullata (small rock oyster) is the source of this 1380-nucleotide long non-coding RNA. RefSeq lists it as uncharacterized. The transcript has 2 exons. NCBI's taxonomy places the organism in Eukaryota, Metazoa, Mollusca, Bivalvia, Ostreida, Ostreidae. The record is from RefSeq and is a predicted model, not a curated record.
UUAGAAUCUCACACCAUUAAAGAAGAAGUUUUAAGGGAAAUAAAGUUUGACAAAGUUUAGUAUAAUAUGAUAAAAGAAAAGCAAAAGUUCCCGGACUUAUCGCAUUGCCUAAUUCAGCAUUCGGCUAAAUGGAAUCAAUAAGUGCAUGCGCGUCACUUUCCUCAUUUGGUACAUUUUUUACCUGGGCGAUCAGAUCUUGGAAGGGACAGAAUGAAUCUCAAAAAUUGGAAAAUUAAGUUCAUUUCUGUUAUUGUAUUAAUUGGAAUUUCACAUUCAAAAAGGUACAAAUACUGCGGGGAGGGAUGCUGUCCUCACGAAUUCUGUGCUUAUCAUAAAAUCUGCUACCCCAUCAUCCAUUGCGAUCCCACGUGUCCGGACGGAAGCUGUCAAAAUGGACUUUGUUUUCCAGCCAAACCUUGCACGAAGAAUUUUGAAUGUGGUUUUGCAGAAACCUGUACAUUCAACUACAACCUUGGCUACACUACAUGUCAAUAUAACCUGAACAUAGGAGAGACUCUUUGUUCUGAUCGAAAUGGAAAUGCUGCAUAUAACCCUAAUCCAGACGAAAGUCCAUUUGUGCACGAAAGUUUUAAUAACGAGAAUAAUUUUUAGAUCACCUGAACUGAGAACUCAAGUGAGCUUUUAUGAUCAAUAGUUUUCUGUCCAGCUGUCUGUCCGUCUGUACACUUUUCACAUUUCCGACUUCUACUCAAGAACAACUGGGUCAACAAGGUUGACACAAAGCAUUCUUGGUUAAGGGAAGUUUAAUUUGUUAAAAUGAAGGGACAAUCCCCCUUACAAGGGGAGAUAAUUAAGAAAAGACAAACAUAGCUUGGGGUCAUUAAAUAAUACUAGUAUUCUUCUCAAGAACCACUAGGCCAGGAAAGCUGAAACAUGUGGAAUCAUCCUGGGGUAGUGUAGAUUAUGAAUUGAUCAAAUCAUGACCGCCUGGAUAAAGGCAGGCCCAUAAGAAGUAAUCUAAAACAGUGAAAUAUUUAGAAUUUUUUUUAAUAAAAAAAAUCUUCUUCUUAAGAACUGGGCCAGAAAAAUUGAAACUUGUAUGGAAGCAUCAGGGGGUAGUGAAGUUUCUAAAUUGCUCAAAUCAUGACUCCCUGGAGGUAGGGUGGGCUAAAAUAGGAAAUCCAUUGAACAUUGAAAUAUUGAAAAAAAUCUUUAAAAAAUUUCUUCUCAAGAACCACGUAGCCAGAAAUGCUAAAACUGAUACAUAAACACCUUGGGGUUGAUCUUCAAAUCAUGGUCCCUGGGGUUGGGUAAGACUACAAUAGGUAUUGCAAGGAUGGAAAUAUGGAAAGUUACUCAGGUGUGCAAUGUGGGUCAAAGGCCUCUCAGAUUUUUUUUCAGAAUAACCUUCGAAUUGAA